UUUGAUGGCGACCGGCGCACGGGUGAGUAACACGUAUCCAACCUGCCGAUGACUCGGGGAUAGCCUUUCGAAAGAAAGAUUAAUACCCGAUGGCAUAGUUCUUCCGCAUGGUGGAACUAUUAAAGAAUUUCGGUCAUCGAUGGGGAUGCGUUCCAUUAGGUUGUUGGCGGGGUAACGGCCCACCAAGCCUUCGAUGGGUAGGGGUUCUGAGAGGAAGGUCCCCCACAUUGGAACUGAGACACGGUCCAAACUCCUACGGGAGGCAGCAUG
This 270-nucleotide ribosomal RNA is filed under the name uncultured bacterium. RNAcentral describes it as "partial 16S ribosomal RNA". It matches the Rfam family "Bacterial small subunit ribosomal RNA", at positions 84 to 353 of the family's 1533-position model. The record is from RNAcentral.